UCCUUGUUAGUACAAUGGCUAGUAUAGGGCACUCUCAAAAGCCGGUUGAUCCUUCGCAAGAUCAACGCGCACUGCUCAGAUCGGGGUUCAAUUCCCCGGCAGGGAA
Molecule: non-coding RNA, 106 nt
Organism: Violaceomyces palustris
Lineage: Eukaryota; Fungi; Basidiomycota; Ustilaginomycetes; Violaceomycetales; Violaceomycetaceae
Source: the annotation of a GenBank genome assembly